UCUGUCUCUCUAACAAAAAAAAAAUUAUCUUACACUGUUUUUAUUACUAAUUAUACAGGUCAAAGUGCAGUUGACUUCCUGUUCGACAUUGUAGAACUUUCUGAUGGGCCUCAUCCGAGCUACGCUGUAUUAAACAGCAGGCCGAAAGCUAACAGUAAUGUCACAUUGCUGGUCUCCAUGCUUGGCGGGGAGAUGGUGAGGCCAACAGAGGUAACUCUGGUUGACGCCUCAACUUCUGAAUCUUUUAAUGGGACUCUGGAGGAGGUUGCUAUUGAAGUUUACCUCGCGACAAUUGCGAAUGUUCCAGCAGGAGAGUUUCUUGUUUGUGUGAGCGGAGAAAGCAGCUCUUCUAGAGAUCCAGUCCAUUUUUUUCAAAGACAGUUUUUAACUCAUCUCCGAACAUCAAAUGUGUCAAUCACUGUUCAAAGUGACGCUGGAACACUGGAACCAGGAAGAUCAUUAACUCUACCCUUCACAGUGUCGACCAGCGGAUCUGGAGGAGUUUUUAAUAUCAGCGUCAGUAAUGACAGAAGUUUCCAAAUGACUGAUGUUCCAUCAACCCUGACUCUGGAGACUGGGGGCAGUGUGAAUGGUACAGUAACUCUGACUGCACCUGGAAACACCCCCUCAGGAACUGACGUCACGCUGACUAUCGAAGCUGAAGCACCAGGAGAAACAGAUUUCAACUACGCAGUGCUGAGGAUUUCUGUAGUCACUCCGGUAACAGACAUUACUCCUCCAGUGUGUGAGAUAGUUAGCGUUAAUGCUAACUGCUCAGGGAACUGCAGCCUCUCGUGGUGGGAUUUCUCCGCUAACAUCACUGACAGAAACGGUUCAGGUAUUCAGCGCGUGGAGGUGAGCCAAGGUCUCGG
RNAcentral lists this long non-coding RNA (872 nucleotides) under Astyanax mexicanus (Mexican tetra). RNAcentral's name for it is "lncRNA (ENSAMXG00005006868.1)". The record is from RNAcentral. Lineage: Eukaryota; Metazoa; Chordata; Actinopteri; Characiformes; Acestrorhamphidae.